CAAUGCAAAGGCUCAUGCCUGCAAGCUGAUGGGAAGACAGCUGGUGAACUCCUUCACAGAGUCUGGCAUUUCCUGGCAACAUUGAGCAGCUCCCUCUCUGGCCACAGUCUUUGAACUUGAGGCCAGGCAUGUCCAGAAGGUGCCAGCGUGUGCAUAUCUUAUGACCGACCCAUCCUUGUGGUGAUGAGCAAUGAGAAGGAGCGAGCGGAUCAGGAUUGAAUUAGAAGGUGCUGAGGAAGAUACAAAGCUCCAAAUUUGGAAAACAACAGUGAAACUCCACAGAUUUCCAGGCUCUGUUCUAGGUGUUAAGGAUUCAAAGAAGAAGGGAGAAGAGGCUCCUUAUCAGACCCAACUGUGCAACCUGUAUGCCAGUACAGUAUGGAGACCGCCACUACCAGGACUGAAAACACCAAGCCAGGGCAUCCCCUCGGAUGCUUACUCCUACUUAGAGCUUGUGAAUGUACUAUCCAACAUCUGGCCCCAGCAAAUUUUGCAUCUCAGAAUUUCUCCACAGCUCACAUCAUGAUUUUGUAUUCUCUUUGCAUACCUUUCACUUAUUUUCGGGGUGUGGAAGUAAUAUUUCAUUACAGUAUCUGUGAUCCACACAAUGUGAGGAAUAAGGAAAAUUAUUGUCUCCAACUAGAAAAUUAGAUAAUGUAACUAGAUUUCUUUGUAUUUUUCAUUAGCAAUUGCUACUCGUGUGUCAUUCUGAGGGAAAUCAACAAAUUUAAUUUCGUUGCUUUUGGUUUCCUUUGCACUUGUUAAAGAAGAAAGAGGCUAGUGAGAUUUCCAUCCUGGGCCUCUCUGCCCUUGGACAGCAUGGGAGACAGAGGCCAUGCCCUAAGUUUUCCCUAACACAGGAGCUCAGAAGUUGCUCCUGGCUGCUCAGGCAGGUCUUAAGGACAGCUGUCAUCUGUGCCACAACACCAGGCAGGCAAUGAGGACACAGCGUUCACCUCAAGGCAGCUGAGGAAGACUCUGUGACACUGACGUGGUUGCUGGCUCCACAUCCCACACCUGGAAUGUAAACAUGCAGACCAACACCUGUGCGUUGCUGUAAACUGGGCCCUGUGUUGAGGAACAGCGUAGACCCAGGCUCAGUUCCUUGGAGAUAAGCUUGGUUAGCUUCUCUGCAUUUUUCUUGGCCAAGCCUAGCCGUGAUGAAGAACCUGAGCCACAACAAGCAGACAUUCUCUCUCUUUUUUUUCUUUUGAGGAAGAUUAGUCCUGAGCUAACAUCCACAGCCAAUCCUCCUCUUUUUUUGCUGAGGAAGACUGGCCCUGAGCUAACAUCCAUGCCCAUCUUUCUCUAUUUUAUAUGUGGGACGCCUGCCACAGCAUGGCUUGAUAAGCGGUGUGUAGGUCUGCACCUGGGAUCUGAACCAGCACACCCCCGGCCACCGAAGCAGAGCAUGCAAACUUAACUGCUGCACCAUGGGCUGGCCCCAGACAUUCUCAUUUUUAUUUUAACCCUUGUGCUUGUUACAUGGCCCUAGCUGUCCCAGCCCUGCCUCCCUCCACACUCCCUGCCUCAGAAACAACAUUUCUGCAUGGAACUGCAUCCCUUUGUUUUGCUUUCCCCAACUGUGCUGGAAUUGUUUAACCCUUCGUGACAGUCUUAGAGGAAAAUGGCUAUAUGAUGCAUCUUUUAUUUCCUAAGUUAUAACUAUAGAUAAAAAUCUAAUAGAUAACUUUAUUUAUAUAAUUAUAGAUAAUUAUAACCA
Molecule: long non-coding RNA, 1723 nt
Filed under: Equus asinus (donkey)
Lineage: Eukaryota; Metazoa; Chordata; Mammalia; Perissodactyla; Equidae
Description: lncRNA (ENSEASG00005009475.2, ENSEASG00020002367.1)
Source: RNAcentral